Molecule: ribosomal RNA, 253 nt
Filed under: uncultured bacterium
Lineage: Bacteria
Description: partial 16S ribosomal RNA
Rfam family: Bacterial small subunit ribosomal RNA
Source: RNAcentral
UACAGAGGAGCCAAGCGUUGUCCGGAUUGACUGGGCGUAAAGCGCACGCAGGCGGCUGCGCGCGUGGGGUGUGAAAUCUGGCCGCUUAACGGCCAGGCGCCAUCCCAUACGGCGCGGCUUGAGCCUUGCAGAGGGCGGUGGAAUUGCCGGUGUAGUGGUGAAAUGCGUAGAGAUCGGCAGGAACACCCAGGGGGAAACCAGCCGCCUGGGCAAGCGCUGACGCUGAGGUGCGAGAGCGCGGGGAGCGAACCGG